RNAcentral lists this long non-coding RNA (6096 nucleotides) under Triticum aestivum (bread wheat). RNAcentral's name for it is "long non-coding RNA (TAES_LNC001013)". The record is from RNAcentral. Lineage: Eukaryota; Viridiplantae; Streptophyta; Magnoliopsida; Poales; Poaceae.
AAAAAUAGAUAGCAUAAAAGAUUAGUGGGUAUUACAUUUAGAUUAGUUACAUUUGGGCAAAUAAAUGAGUAGAAGUCAAUUUUGUUUGCUUGAUGUUUCACUUCUUUGAUCUCUUCAUCAUUCUCAUUUUGUUUCAUUGCUUACCAUUUGUUCGAAAAAAUUUCUAGCAGUGGCAAGCAUGGUUAGGGCGAGCAACAAGGGUUCCUGUAGUGCAUAACCAUUUCAAGUCGCCCAAGUUCUAAAGAGAGAUCAGAAGUGCCAGCUACUGAAGCAAAAAAAAGGACCUGAUACACAUUGUAAUCAUGGACUGCUGAUAUACCUGAUGCAUUUCUUCAUGAUGGUCGAUUUCCUUUCACCGGAUCUUACAUGUUUAAUUAUGUGUGCUCGGAACCAAAAACUGAUUGAGAUCUUCAGUUCUUACUUGCAGAUGUUCUGUUAUUCAGAGUAAUUCAGUUUCCAGUCUCUGUUUAUUAAUCAAAUUAUGGGUUAUUUUCAACCAUAUAGGCUUUUAUUAUAUGUUCAGUUAUGCUUCCAUGGGUUUUGCAUAUGUAUUAACAAAACAACCAGACUGCUAUUCUGUAUAUACUUGGAUCAAAGGGUGUACAAUUAAUUUGCUCUUACGAAAGGAAUGAGUAGGCAGCUAGCAGAAUGGGAGGACAAUCAUGACAAGCGAAGGAACAAAUAAAUAGUAAUCCCACAAUUUUUACAACUGCAUUCCACUUUAAUUUGGUAUGGACAUGCAUUUUUAUCCUUGGAGUACUUUGGAUUUUAAGUGGGAAUCAUUGGUUCUUUUCUUCUUAAUAUUUUACUUCUUAUAAUUACAAAUACCAAUUUUAGAGAAUUGAGCUCGUACUUAAAAUUCAAUUGAGUAUGAAGCCACUGCCCAUUGUGUGAAAGAAACAAUUAUAACAUUGUACUCUAACAAAUCACACAUAUAGAGAAAUGUUAUUUUCGAGUCUCCUUAACCUACUGAUCUUUUUUUAGAUAUAUGAAACUUGCAUUUGUUUUCUUAAUUCUUCUGCAAUGCAGGUGAUAUUCCUAAUGGUUGCUGCUGACGCUAAAAAAAUUACUCCUGAAGCACUAGAAGUGCCCUCUCUAUGACGCAUCACUCACUGGAUCCAGAUGGGCAACAUUCCGCUUCAAGAUUAAAGAGUACCGUUUUUGCAUGCUAUCAUUGCUUAUCCAAGAGUAAUCUAGCAUGUGCCUAAUAUAUAUACAUGAUUGUUGCACCAUCACAAGAUUUCCAUUAUAUACAUGGGCAUAACUUUCUUUACUGUGAAUUAAUCGACACGAUGCUUCUGUUUUAAGGAAUGGCAAUGCUAAAUUCUACAGUGGUACUCUCUACUCUGUCGAAUGUUUACAAACACCAUAAAGCUAGAGAUCUAUUGUGGAAACUUUUCUUUCUUUUGUUUGUUAUAACUUCUUAGUGUAAAAAUAAAUAUGGCUUGUCCAUUACGAAACAAAUAUGUAAGAUUUAUUACUUUUCAAAGUUGAAUUGUUCCUGGCAAAUUACACAUGAGAGUGCAUACAAUUGAGUUGUGCUGACUUGCUGUUUCUAAAAUGAUAAGCUGGAGCUGGAGUUACAUAUGAGAGUAGAGAUAAUUAAGUUGUGCUCCUGACUUGAUUAACAAAAGCUGCAGAAGAAAGGGACAAAAUACCAAAGAGCUGAAAUUUUGAAGAAAGGUGGAAGUAGGGAACUACACAACUUGAUUCAAGGUUACGAAGGGAAAAAGGGCAUUGAUUGAGCAGGAGAAAACAAUAAUGGGCCGAGGCAAAGAUAUAGUGCUCAGUUAGUAAAGAGAUAUGUGGGAAGUUGAGCAGCGGGAUGCAAAUGGAAUUUUUGUGACUCACUGAAGGUGAGCAAAACUUCAGAAAAGAAAUUGCAACAGAAGUAGAGCCUCAUCACCAAGAGAACAUAGGGAUUUUAAGUUUUUUGUAGCCUGCACCGGAGACUGUAGAGUUAAGUUUCUACAUCUCAGUGUACAGUUUAACUAUAUCAGGUUAUUUCCUAUGUAGUAAAUAUUUGCUUUUGCCAUUGCUGAUCAUGUCCUUCUCUCUGUGCUUGGAAGCAUAAACUUACUUAGCGAUCCUUUUCUGUUAGGCUAAACUUACAUCCUUCUGCUAAUAGUUUAGUGAUCUAAUGAUUAUAAUGAUUAUUCAAAAGGGACGUUGCAUGUUCCUAGAUGCAUAGCCUUUCUUAUAUAUGUUUUCAUAACACUGGAUUUUUUUAGGGAUAACACUGGGAUUUAAGUUUUUUUGUUAAAUUCUGAAACUGAAAUCCGAAUAAAAAAUAUCUUGAAAGACCAGCAUAAUGGCACUUCAAAUAAAUGCUAAUCUACACUCACACUGCAGGCUGGUGCCCGUUCUUCUGGUGAUUUGGUCAAAGCUACUACUAAGCAAAGAUAUUUUGCAUGCUAUAAGAACAUGUAGGUUCAUAUCGGGGAGCCAUACGAUCCUGCUAAGAAUUUUGAAUCACUUUGAUAUAUUAACAACAACAUCGUUUAAAAUCCAAACAAAUGGCAUACUCCCUGUUAAUUCAAAUGCAGAUACAAACUUUAAGCUUUUCUAAAUAAGGAAAUAUAUUUACAGUCCAAGUGUAGUAAUCUGGGAGUUUGAAAUUAUUUCCCCUUUUUACAAAGCAAGGGACAUUGAAGUUAAUAUUCACAUACAUGGCAGGGAAGGAUUGAUCUCUCUGCUUAGCAAUGAAUUUGUAGCACCCCAUGAAAACAAAUAUUGUGCAGACCCUAUGGCGUCAUUGUGUUAGUAGGCCGUAUUGGCGUUGCAAUCUCCUCUUGGACUAACUAAUGCAUAGGUUAUAAAGCACAUCAAACCUUUUGUAGACCAACAAAUCCAACAUGCUAUGUAGAUCUUGUGUGUACGGAUUAAUCUGAUUGAUGACUGAUGGAAAGCUUCAGGACUUGUAUUCCCCCCUCACCCCAUAUCUGUAGUUUCCUAUGAUUCACUUUCAAAUCUGGAUAUUCUCUUAUAUAUUAACUACUGCAUUGGAGGAAAUUAAAUCACUUGCAAUCUACAAUUAAAGAAUAAUUAAGUGGGACCUUGAGAAACAAUAGUUUGCCAUGGUCUGCAAUGGGGCAGAGCCAAAGAGUUUGACCAGAAUAAAAGUCUGGACAACAAAAUUCAAUGGAGAGAGAUAUCCAUCUGUUACCCACAAAUGAUUAUUUUUUUGUUAGUGCCUCUUCUUCUUUCUUGCCCAUUAUUUAGUUAUAACGUGACAAAAUAAACAUGUUGAUUAUACCCGACUUGCACUGAACAUGAAAUUUUUGUUUAUGCACAAACAUGCGAGUUGUGUAGUACUGUAGGUUGACACUUCAUCGAAACAUAACACACAAUUACAUGUGCGUGUAUAAGGAGAAACUAUACCUGCAGCACACAUCCAUCUAUCUCGGUUUAUGGGAGAACUGGCAAAUUUAUGGUAAUGAAGCAUGUAGCUGAGGUGUGAGACAAAUCUUCCGUAGAGUGUUAAUGUUGUUAGUAGUAAUUAACUUGUCUCCUAGGAGCUAACUGCAGCAACUUACCUUGAUUGUUAGAUACAGUAUAGCAUUAUUCAUCUUCAUCCAUGAUUGAUUCUUCUGUUUGCUGCAAUUCUUUGACAAUUCUUAGCAUCACACAACCAAAGGUGAGAAGCAAAAAUUUGAAGCACGGAACAAAAAAUUCACAAACCAAUGCAUUUAGUAACCAUCGUGGUUCUUACAGGUCCUUUGCAAUCCAAAUUCCAGUUCUAUGACUUGCAAGGAAGGAUGAAGUCCAUGUCAUGAAAAUUUUAAUAUGUGGUCGCUGCCUCCUCCAGCCAUGGAUUUCAAAGGUACGCAGAUUCACCUACAACAUGCAUAUGGGAGAACUUGCAGAUCUGAAGGAAUCAAGUAUCUAGCUAAGGUGCUUGUAGCCACGAUCAGUGCUCCAUCGAGCAAUUUCUUAGGGCUGCACAGAUGCAACAACCUGGUAGAUAGGAUCAUCCUCUAUCAAAAAUAGCCAAAGGAAGAUGUCAGCAUCAGAGAUCCCAUAUAGGCCAGGAUAAUGUCAAAAUAUCUUGGCAUGGGCACGUGGCUCAUAGCCUGAACUUGAGACCGUUUACUCCAUGCUCGUGGUGGAGGCCUAGUCUCGACGGGGGCAUGGCAGUGGCGUGCGUUAGGAUUGGAUUCCGUCGAAGACCUAGGAUUGAUUUUCUAGCUGAGGCUGCGUGCGUGAGGGCUGGAGAGUCGGUUGUAGCCAUGGGAUUCUGGCGGCAGCAGCGUGCGUGAGGGCAGGGGAGUCUGCAGCCCUAUUAUGUUUUUCUUCUUUCAACGAUGGACUCAGGUAAUGGGAAAACUAAUCUAUGGCAUGGCCCUGUAUAUUUUGUCUUCUUUUCACGAUGGAGUCAAGGUUUCUAAAAAAAUUAUGGCAUUGCUGAAUCGUAGAGGCAGGUGAAAGCUAUUUUGACGCAGCAUAUGCUUUAGUAGGAGUUAUCUCUACCUCUCUAUCUCUACCUAAUCUCUACCUAAUAAUAAAGCAAAUUGGGUUUCUGCUUGUCCGUCAUUAGCAUUUUUGCUAAAAAGCCCCUCCCUUUUUUAGUAUUUAACCCGCAGUACAAUUUAAAGUCUGUUUCUUCUUGAGAUAAUGAUUCAUUUUUUGCAAAAAGGACCCGGGCACCACCACCACAACCCCGCCUUAUCCACUGCCGGUCUUCACAAACGGGCAGCGGCGCGCUUGCCAUGGCGUCCGCUCCGCCCGAGCCCAGUAAUGGGGCGAGGCGUCGCGGCGGCGUUCCUGCACGCCUUGUCGGCCUUGGAGCUAGCCUUGGCGGGGGCGGGCCGAGGCGUCGCGGCGGAGGACGAUAAGCAGACGGGCACGCGCCACCGGCGCGCUUGCCGUGGGCGUCCGCUUUGCCCGAGCCCAGUAGUGGGGCGAGGGGUCGCGCCGGCGUUCCUACACGCCUUGUCGACCUUGAAGCUGGCCUUGGCGGGCCGAGGCGUCGCGGCGGAGGACGACAAGGCGGCCGGCGUGCUCUGUUGGGGCGACGCGUCGCGGCGCUCUGGCUCCAGUAGAUGACGGCAGAGAGCCAGGUGUGGCUUUGUGUCGCCGGCCACCGUGCCAGGCUGGAAUAGCUGCUGCAGCCCCCCUUAUUUGAUACUUGCAUUUGUGGCAAGCACCUUGCUGUUCUGAGUAAUGGUUGAUAUCUUAUAUUUAGCCGAGAAGCUGAAAACUUACGAGUUGGAAAACCUUCUAGAUAUACCUAAAAAGACCUUGAAGAUAUCUUCUACUAGACUGGACGAGCUGAUUGACUGGCGAUGGAGAUGCAGCAGUGACCUGCAAUUCUUUCUGCUGUGGAUGGUUCAUUUUGAUAUCUUUUUUAUAUCUGACAAGACACAAGAAAACAACAUAUCUAUCCUGUUAUAUUUACCACUAUCAUCUACAGUGAGUGCUAAGUUGCCCAUAAAUUUUAGUUGACUUCUGUUCAGAGUGAUCUGAAAAAUAGAUAGCAAAAAAGAUUAGUGGGUAUUACAUUUAGAUUAGCUACAUUUGGGCAAAUAAAUGAGUAGAAGUCAAUUUUGUUUGCUUGAUGUUUCACUUCUUUGAUCUCUUCAUCAUUCUCAUUUUGUUUCAUUGCUUACCAUUUGUUCGAAAUUUUUUCUAGCAGUGGCAAGCAUGGUUAGGGCGAGCAACGAGGGUUCCUAUAGUGCAUAACCAUUUCGAGUCGCCCAAGUUCUAAAGAGAGAUCAGAAGUGCCAGCUACUGAAGCAAAAAAAAGGACCUGAUACACAUUGUAAUCAAUGACUGCUGAUAUACCUGAUGCAUUUCUUCAUGAUGGUCGAUUUCCUUUCACCGGAUCUUACAUGUUUAAUUAUGUGUGCUCGGAACCAAAAACUGAUUGAGAUCUUCAGUUCUUACUUGCAGAUGUUCUUUUAUUCAGAGUAAUUCAGUUUCCAGUCUCUAUGUAUUAAUCAAAUUAUGGGUUAUUUUCAACCAUAUAGACUUUUAUUAUAUGUUCAGUUAUGCUUCCAUGGGUUUUGCAUAUGUAUUAACAAAACAACCAGACUGCUAUUACGUAUAUAGUUGGAUCAAAGGGUGUACAAUUAAUUUGCUCUGACGAAAGGAAUG